Molecule: ribosomal RNA, 563 nt
Filed under: Vishniacozyma victoriae
Lineage: Eukaryota; Fungi; Basidiomycota; Tremellomycetes; Tremellales; Bulleribasidiaceae
Description: partial large subunit ribosomal RNA
Rfam family: Eukaryotic large subunit ribosomal RNA
Source: RNAcentral
UAGGAUUCCCUUAGUAACGGCGAGUGAACCGGGAUGAGCUCAAAUUUAAAAUCUGGCGUCUUUCAGGCGUCCGAGUUGUAAUCUAUAGAGGCGUUUUCCGCGCCGGACCGCGUCCAAGUCUCUUGGAAUAGAGUAUCAAAGAGGGUGACAAUCCCGUACUUGACGCGACAACCGGUGCUCUGUGAUACGUUCUCAAUGAGUCGAGUUGUUUGGGAAUGCAGCUCUAAAUGGGUGGUAAAUUCCAUCUAAGGCUAAAUAUUGGCGAGAGACCGAUAGCGAACAAGUACCGUGAGGGAAAGAUGAAAAGCACUUUGGAAAGAGAGUUAAACAGCACGUGAAAUUGUUAAAAGGGAAACGAUUGAAGUCAGUCGUGUGAAAGGUAUUCAGCCGUCUCUGGCGGUGUAUUUGCCUUUCACGGGUCAACAUCAGUUUGAUCCGGUAGAAAAAGGCGGGAGGAAGGUGGCACCCUCGGGUGUGUUAUAGCCUCCUGUCAUAUGUGCCGGACCAGACUGAGGAACGCAGCUUGCCGCAAGGCCGGGGUUCGCCCACGUACAAGCUUAGGA